AUGUAUGGCCGCGACCCUUCUCGAGCCAGGUUUGCCGCCGGCUGCUCUGGAGGUGGUUGGGGUCCCGGAUCUGGGCAAGUUGUGGCCUUUGGUGACUCUCGGGGUGGUCUCAUGGCAGUGCGGCGACCCUGGCCGUGGGAGCCGAGUUGGUCGUGGGCGGAUUGCACGGCUCGGCUACAGACAGGCAACCAUGGCCGCUCGGGCGGCAUGGCUGCGGGUGGUUGGCGGACUGGGGUUACGGCGGAGGGGUUGAAGCACCGCGGUCCAUCACCUACCCAGUCCGUGCACUGGUUGGUGAUGGCGUCCGUGGACGACGUGUUCCUCCUUGCAGGCUCCGUCGUGGUGCUUCUACUCCUUCCGUCUUACUCCGGGUGA
Molecule: ribosomal RNA, 375 nt
Filed under: Triticum aestivum (bread wheat)
Lineage: Eukaryota; Viridiplantae; Streptophyta; Magnoliopsida; Poales; Poaceae
Description: partial small subunit ribosomal RNA
Source: RNAcentral